UAAGUAGCUAAGACAGGUCCCAGAGCCUGCAUCCC
This 35-nucleotide non-coding RNA is filed under the name Mus musculus (house mouse). Lineage: Eukaryota; Metazoa; Chordata; Mammalia; Rodentia; Muridae. The record is from RNAcentral.